RNAcentral lists this ribosomal RNA (910 nucleotides) under uncultured bacterium. RNAcentral describes it as "bacterial SSU rRNA". It matches the Rfam family "Bacterial small subunit ribosomal RNA", at positions 8 to 916 of the family's 1533-position model. The record is from RNAcentral.
AGAGUUUGAUCCUGGCUCAGGAUGAACGCUAGCGGCAGGCCUAACACAUGCAAGUCGAGGGGCAACAGGUGUAGCAAUACAUGCUGGCGACCGGCGCACGGGUGAGUAACGCGUAUGCAACCUACCCAUAACAAGGGGAUAGCUUCCGGAAACGGGAAUUAAUACCCUAUAGCACCUAAAUACCGCAUGGUAUUAAGGUUAAAACUACGGUGGUUAUGGAUGGGCAUGCGUGCCAUUAGUUAGUUGGCGGGGUAACGGCCCACCAAGACUGUGAUGGCUAGGGGGUCUAAAAGGAUGAUCCCCCACACUGGUACUGAGACACGGACCAGACUCCUACGGGAGGCAGCAGUGAGGAAUAUUGGUCAAUGGGCGAGAGCCUGAACCAGCCAUGCCGCGUGCAGGAAGACGGCCCUAUGGGUUGUAAACUGCUUUUGUUUGGGAAUAAAAGGCGCUACGUGUAGUGCACUGAAGGUACCAGAUGAAUAAGCAUCGGCUAACUCCGUGCCAGCAGCCGCGGUAAUACGGAGGAUGCGAGCGUUAUCCGGAUUUAUUAGGUUUAAAGGGUGUGUAGGCGGAAGACUAAGUCAGUGGUGAAAUCCCUCAGCUUAACUGGGGAACUGCCAUAGAUACUGGUUUUCUUGAGUACAGUUGAAGUAGGCGGAAUGUGUAAUGUAGCGGUGAAAUGCUUAGAUAUUACACAGAACACCGAUUGCGAAGGCAGCUUGCUAAGCUGUUACUGACGCUGAUGCACGAAAGCGUGGGGAGCGAACAGGAUUAGAUACCCUGGUAGUCCACGCCGUAAACGAUGAUUACUCGUUGUUGGCGAUAUAUAGUCAGCGACUGAGCGAAAGCAUUAAGUAAUCCACCUGGGGAGUACGGCGGCAACGCUGAAACUUAAAGGAAUUGACGG